GAUGAACGCUGGCGGCGUGCCUAAUACAUGCAAGUCGAACGAACAUACGAGAAGCUUGCUCCCCGGACGUUGACGGCGGUCGUGUGAGGAACACGGGGGUAACCUACCUAUAAGACUUGCACAACAUCGGGAAAUCGGAGCUAGUACCGGCUGGUAUAUUCAAACACAUGGUUCAAUAGGGAUAGACGGUUUGGGUGUUACUUAAUGAUGGAUCCGCGCCGCCUUAGCUAGUUGGUAAGGUAAGGGGGUACCAAGGCGACGAUGCGUAACCGCCCUGAGAGGGUGAUUCGCUAGACUGGCACUGAGACCCGGUCCAGACACCUACAGGGGGACGCAGCAGGGAAUCCUACGCGAUGGGCGAGAGCGUGACGGAGCAAAGCCGCGUGAGCGAUGAAGGUCUUCGGAUCCUAAAACUAUGUAGUAAGGGAAGAACAAAUGUGUAAGUAACAAUGCACGUCUUGACGGUACCUAAUCAGAAAGCCACGGCUAACUACGUG
Molecule: ribosomal RNA, 497 nt
Filed under: uncultured bacterium
Lineage: Bacteria
Description: partial 16S ribosomal RNA
Rfam family: Bacterial small subunit ribosomal RNA
Source: RNAcentral